CCUACGGGGGACAGCAGUGAGGAAUAUUGGUCAAUGGACGCAAGUCUGAACCAGCCAUGCCGCGUGCAGGAAGACGGCUCUAUGAGUUGUAAACUGCUUUUGUACGAGGGUAAACGCAGAUACGCGUAUCUGUCUGAAAGUAUCGUACGAAUAAGGAUCGGCUAACUCCGUGCCAGCAGCCGCGGUAAUACGGAGGAUUCAAGCGUUAUCCGGAUUUAUUGGGUUUAAAGGGUGCGUAGGCGGUCGGAUAAGUUAGAGGUGAAAUCCCGAGGCUCAACUUCGGAAUUGCCUCUGAUACUGUUCGGCGAGAGAGUAGUUGCGGUAGGCGGAAUGUAUGGUGUAGCGGUGAAAUGCUUAGAGAUCAUACAGAACACCGAUUGCGAAGGCAGCUUACCAAGCUACUUCUGACGUUGAGGCACGAAAGCGUGGGGAGCAAACAGGAUUAGAUACCCGGGUAGUC
Molecule: ribosomal RNA, 460 nt
Filed under: uncultured bacterium
Lineage: Bacteria
Description: partial 16S ribosomal RNA
Rfam family: Bacterial small subunit ribosomal RNA
Source: RNAcentral